This 330-nucleotide ribosomal RNA is filed under the name uncultured bacterium. RNAcentral's name for it is "bacterial SSU rRNA". It matches the Rfam family "Bacterial small subunit ribosomal RNA", at positions 568 to 898 of the family's 1533-position model. The record is from RNAcentral.
CGUGUAGGCGGCCUCUUAAGUCUGAUGUGAAAGCCCGGGGCUUACCCCCGGAAGGGCAUUGGAAACUGGGAGGCUAGAGUACCGGAGAGGAAGGUGGAAUUCCUGGUGUAGCGGUGAAAUGCGUAGAUAUCAGGAGGAACACCGGUGGCGAAGGCGGCCUUCUGGACGGAUACUGACGCUGAGACGCGAAAGCGUGGGGAGCAAACAGGAUUAGAUACCCUGGUAGUCCACGCCGUAAACGAUGGGCACUAGGUGUUCGGGGUAUUGACCCCCUGAGUGCCGCAGCUAAGCAUUAAGUGCCCGCCUGGGGACUACGGCCGCAAGGUUAAA